AGUAGAUAUGCAAUUUAUGUGGAUGUCUUUUCAAAACAUUAUCUGGUUUAAAAAGCCACAUCAGACGCCAUGAUAGAUCUAAGGUGUAGGUACAGGUGGUG
This is a long non-coding RNA of Octopus sinensis (East Asian common octopus), 101 nucleotides long. RefSeq lists it as uncharacterized. The record is from RefSeq and is a predicted model, not a curated record. The transcript has 3 exons. Lineage: Eukaryota; Metazoa; Mollusca; Cephalopoda; Octopoda; Octopodidae.